UAGGGAAUUUUGCGCAAUGGGGGCAACCCUGACGCAGCAACGCCGCGUGACCGAUGAAGCCCUUCGGGGUGUAAAGGUCUGUCAGUGGGGACGAACGAUGACGGUACCCACAGAGGAAGCACCGGCUAACUCCGUGCCAGCAGCCGCGGUAAUACGGGGGGUGCAAGCGUUGUCCGGAAUCAUUGGGCGUAAAGAGUUCGUAGGUGGUAUGUUAAGUCUGUGUUAAAUGCAGAAGCUCAACUUCUGUUCGGCACUGGAUACUGGCAAACUAGAAUGCGGUAGAGGUAAAGGGUAAUUCCUGGUGUAGCGGUGAAAUGCGUAGAUAUCAGGAGGAACAUCGGAGGCGUAAGCGCUUUACUGGGCCGUAAUUUGACACUGAGGAACGAAAGCCGGGGUAGCAAAAUAGGAUUAGAUACCC
Molecule: ribosomal RNA, 418 nt
Filed under: uncultured bacterium
Lineage: Bacteria
Description: bacterial SSU rRNA
Rfam family: Bacterial small subunit ribosomal RNA
Source: RNAcentral